GACGAACGCUGGCGGCGCGCUUAACACAUGCAAGUCGAACGGAAAGGCCUGCUUUCCCUUGUGGAUUGCGGGUACUCGAGUGGCGAACGGGUGAGUAACACGUGAGUGAUCUGCCCCCAACUUGGGUAUAAGCCUGGGAAACUGGGUCUAAUUCCCGAUAGGACUGCAGGGUGGUGCCUGUGGUGGAAAACGAUUUUCUAGUGGUUGGGGAUGGGCUCGCGGCCUAUCAGCUUGUUGGUGGGGUCAUGGCCUACCAAGGCGGCGACGGGUAGCCGGCCUGAGAGGGUGGACGGCCCCAGUGGGACUGAGAUACGGCCCGGACUGCUACGGGAGGCAGCAGUGGGGAAUAUUGCACAAUGGGCGGAAGCCUGAUGCAGCGACGCCGCGUGGGGGAUGACGGCCUUCGGGUUGUAAACUCCUUUCGACCGCGAGGAAGCCACCUGGUUGGAAGGGUGGUGACGGUAGUGGUAGAAGAAGCACCGGCUAACUACGUG
This 494-nucleotide ribosomal RNA is filed under the name uncultured bacterium. RNAcentral describes it as "partial 16S ribosomal RNA". It matches the Rfam family "Bacterial small subunit ribosomal RNA", at positions 28 to 507 of the family's 1533-position model. The record is from RNAcentral.